UAUUAAACUGAUAAGAACAGAUACUA
This 26-nucleotide non-coding RNA is filed under the name Xenopus tropicalis (tropical clawed frog). The record is from RNAcentral. Lineage: Eukaryota; Metazoa; Chordata; Amphibia; Anura; Pipidae. RNAcentral also lists the same sequence under 1 other name.